GAUGAACGCUAGCGACAGGCCUAACACAUGCAAGUCGAGGGGCAGCGGGGAGUGGCAACACUCUGCCGGCGACCGGCGCACGGGUGAGUAACGCGUAUCCAACCUGCCCACCACUUGGGGAUAACCUUGCGAAAGUAAGACUAAUACCCAAUGAUAUCCCUAGAAGACAUCCGAAUGGGAUUAAAGAUUUAUCGGUGAUGGAUGGGGAUGCGUCUGAUUAGCUUGUUGGCGGGGUAACGGCCCACCAAGGCAACAAUCAGUAGGGGUUCUGAGAGGAAGGUCCCCCACAUUGGAACUGAGACACGGUCCAAACUCCUACGGGAGGCAGCAGUGAGGAAUAUUGGUCAAUGGGCGAGAGCCUGAACCAGCCAAGUAGCGUGCAGGACGACGGCCCUAUGGGUUGUAAACUGCUUUUAUAAGGGAAUAAAGUGAGUCUCGUGAGACUUUUUGCAUGUACCUUAUGAAUAAGGACCGGCUAAGUUCCGUG
This 487-nucleotide ribosomal RNA is filed under the name uncultured bacterium. RNAcentral describes it as "bacterial SSU rRNA". It matches the Rfam family "Bacterial small subunit ribosomal RNA", at positions 28 to 507 of the family's 1533-position model. The record is from RNAcentral.